Molecule: long non-coding RNA, 704 nt
Filed under: Polistes fuscatus (common paper wasp)
Lineage: Eukaryota; Metazoa; Arthropoda; Insecta; Hymenoptera; Vespidae
Description: uncharacterized LOC122518468
Source: RNAcentral
UAACUCGUAAAUUAAAUCGAGUUUAUCGAAAUCCUUACGUCAUUUAUUUGACGAUCGAUUAAUCGAGGUCAAGUUCAGUUUGAUUGAAAAUCUGUCACAUUAAAAUAUCCAACAAAAGUAUCAAAUUAUAUCGUGAAUAAUAAUGCAAUUGAUCGAAGGUAACGAGAAAUCUAUCGCUAAUCAACAACAGGAUUCAACGAACAAGAAAAAAAAGGGGACGUUGAUAAUGAAGGAUAAAAGUUCUAAGGGAAAAUCAAUCGUUAAAUGUCGAUCUAUCAAUCCUUUUAUACACUAUUAUCAAAGUCUUCGCGAAUCCUGCGGAAAACAGCAUUCCUCUUCCGUGAUCGCCAAGAUCGCGGCAUAUCGUUGGAAAUUCAUGGAACCCCGUGCCAAACAGCAGUACAUCGAAGCCGCCAGAAAGCAAUGGCUUCGUCGAAGAAGAGCGUCAAUGGCUCGUAAGAAAUAGCUUCGAACGACCUCCGACCCAGUAAUACUUCAAGAAACCGAUAGAAAGAAAUACCUGAGGCUAUUGCGGAUAUGGAAUCAAAGAACUAAAUCGAUCCGAUCGUUGAAGAAGACUAUUUAUAUCUUUUGUAUACCUUUCUUAAUCGAAACGUCCUAAAAUAACUUAUUGUAUGAAAUUUUAUCCAGUGUAAUAUCUCGUGAUUAAAUGUCGUCGAGUUAAUAAAACAAUGAAAGAAUAA